CCACCGGAGCUUGCUCCACCGGAAAAAGAGGAGUGGCGAACGGGUGAGUAACACGUGGGUAACCUGCCCAUCAGAAGGGGAUAACACUUGGAAACAGGUGCUAAUACCGUAUAACAAUCGAAACCGCAUGGUUUUGAUUUGAAAGGCGCUUUCGGGUGUCGCUGAUGGAUGGACCCGCGGUGCAUUAGCUAGUUGGUGAGGUAACGGCUCACCAAGGCCACGAUGCAUAGCCGACCUGAGAGGGUGAUCGGCCACAUUGGGACUGAGACACGGCCCAAACUCUACGGGAGGCAGCAGUAGGGAAUCUUCGGCAAUGGACGAAAGUCUGACCGAGCAACGCCGCGUGAGUGAAGAAGGUUUUCGGAUCGUAAAACUCUGUUGUUAGAGAAGAACAAGGAUGAGAGUAACUGUUCAUCCCUUGACGGUAUCUAACCAGAAAGCCACGGCUAACUACGUGCCAGCAGCCGCGGUAAUACGUAGGUGGCAAGCGUUGUCCGGAUUUAUUGGGCGUAAAGCGAGCGCAGGCGGUUUCUUAAGUCUGAUGUGAAAGCCCCCGGCUCAACCGGGGAGGGUCAUUGGAAACUGGGAGACUUGAGUGCAGAAGAGGAGAGUGGAAUUCCAUGUGUAGCGGUGAAAUGCGUAGAUAUAUGGAGGAACACCAGUGGCGAAGGCGGCUCUCUGGUCUGUAACUGACGCUGAGGCUCGAAAGCGUGGGGAGCAAACAGGAUUAGAUACCCUGGUAGUCCACGCCGUAAACGAUGAGUGCUAAGUGUUGGAGGGUUUCCGCCCUUCAGUGCUGCAGCUAACGCAUUAAGCACUCCGCCUGGGGAGUACGACCGCAAGGUUGAAACUCAAAGGAAUUGACGGGGGCCCGCACAAGCGGUGGAGCAUGUGGUUUAAUUCGAAGCAACGCGAAGAACCUUACCAGGUCUUGACAUCCUUUGACCACUCUAGAGAUAGAGCUUCCCCUUCGGGGGCAAAGUGACAGGUGGUGCAUGGUUGUCGUCAGCUCGUGUCGUGAGAUGUUGGGUUAAGUCCCGCAACGAGCGCAACCCUUAUUGUUAGUUGCCAUCAUUCAGUUGGGCACUCUAGCAAGACUGCCGGUGACAAACCGGAGGAAGGUGGGGAUGACGUCAAAUCAUCAUGCCCCUUAUGACCUGGGCUACACACGUGCUACAAUGGGAAGUACAACGAGUCGCGAAGUCGCGAGGCUAAGCUAAUCUCUUAAAGCUUCUCUCAGUUCGGAUUGCAGGCUGCAACUCGCCUGCAUGAAGCCGGAAUCGCUAGUAAUCGCGGAUCAGCACGCCGCGGUGAAUACGUUCCCGGGCCUUGUACACACCGCCCGUCACACCACGAGAGUUUGUAACACCCGAAGUCGGUGAGGUAACCUUUUGGAGCCAGCCGCCUAAGGUG
This 1413-nucleotide ribosomal RNA is filed under the name Enterococcus faecium. RNAcentral describes it as "bacterial SSU rRNA". It matches the Rfam family "Bacterial small subunit ribosomal RNA". Lineage: Bacteria; Bacillati; Bacillota; Bacilli; Lactobacillales; Enterococcaceae. The record is from RNAcentral.